RNAcentral lists this unclassified non-coding RNA (217 nucleotides) under Inocybe pelargonium. RNAcentral describes it as "partial internal transcribed spacer 2". Lineage: Eukaryota; Fungi; Basidiomycota; Agaricomycetes; Agaricales; Inocybaceae. The record is from RNAcentral.
ACACCUCAACUCUCAUGGUUUGCCGUGAUGAGCUUGGACUUUGGGGGUCUUGCUGGCCUUUGGUCGGCUCCUCUCAAACGGAUCAGCUUUCCAGUGUUUGGUGGCGUCAUGGGUGUGAUAACUAUCUACGCCUGUGGUUUUCUGCCAGAUAACCUUCAGUGAUGGAGGUUCGCUGGGGCUCAUAAAUGUCUCUCUUCAGUGGAGACAGCUUUUGGAC